RNAcentral lists this ribosomal RNA (253 nucleotides) under uncultured bacterium. Its description in RNAcentral is "partial 16S ribosomal RNA". It matches the Rfam family "Bacterial small subunit ribosomal RNA", at positions 524 to 776 of the family's 1533-position model. The record is from RNAcentral.
GACGGAGGAGGCAAACAUUGUCCGGAAUUAUUGGGCGUAAAGAACACGUAGGCGGUUUUUCAAGUCAAAUGUGAAAACCUUGGGCUUAACUUGAGGAUUGCAUUUGAAACUGAAAAGCUAGAGUACAGUAGAGGAAAGUGGAAUUCCUGGUGUAGCGGUGAAAUGCGCAGAUAUCAGGAAGAACACCAGUGGCGAAAGCGGCUUUCUGGACUGUUACUGACGCUGAGGUGUGAAAGCUAGGGGAGCGAACAGG